CGAACACCCUAACAGCUAGCCCCACCAUCAAGAUACAACACCCAACAUUAAUAACCCUACAAGUACUAAGCUAAAGUACCAAACCAUUUUACCCCCCUAGUAUGGGAGACAGAAAGGGGAAACCACGGGCGCUAUAGAAAAAGUACCGCAAGGGAAAGCUGAAAGAGAACUGAAACAACGCAGUAAAGGGAAUAGAAGCAGAGCUUUGACCUCGUACCUUUUGCAUCAUGAUUUAGCAAGUAAUUUUCAAGCAAAAAGCCUUUUAUGUUUGAGCCCCCGAAAUUAAGCGAGCUACUCCAGGACAGCCUAUUAUAGGGCACACCCGUCUCUGUGGCAAAAGAGUGGGAAGAGCUUUGAGUAGAGGUGACAGACCUACCGAGCUUAAUUAUAGCUGGUUGCCUAAGAACUGAAUAGAAGUUCAGCCUUUUAAAUUCUUCUCCCAAUAAGGGCAACGCCCCCCACAGGACACAAGAAAAUUAAAAGAGUUAUUUGAGGGAGGGACAGCUCUCUCAAAGUAAGAUACAACUUUAUUAAAGGAGGUGAAAGAUCAAAACUUUAAAGGGACAAUACCCAGGUGGGCCUAAAAGCAGCCACCCUUACAGAAAGCGUUAAAGCUCAAGUAUUAAAACCCGACGAUUUCGACCAGAACAUCUUAAGCCCCUUAACUUAUUAGGCCUACCCAUGCAUCCAUGGGUAAGAUAAUGCUAGAAUGAGUAAUAAGAGAGCCGAGACUCUCUCAAGUGCAUCCGUGUAAAUCAGAACGAACCCCCACUGUAAAUUAACGCCCCCAACUCCAGAGGGAAAUGAGGUACCCAACAUACAACAAGAAGCCCCCUCAACCCCAUAAGCGUUAGCCCAACACAGGAAUGCCCCAUGACAGACAAAAAGAAAAAGAAGGAACUCGGCAAACAUUGGCCUCGCCUGUUUACCAAAAACAUCGCCUCUUGCCAAAUCUCUUAUAAGAGGUCCCGCCUGCCCUGUGACUCUAAGUUUAACGGCCGCGGUAUUUUGACCGUGCGAAGGUAGCGUAAUCACUUGUCUUUUAAAUGAAGACCUGUAUGAAUGGCAUAACGAGGGCUAAGCUGUCUCCUUUUUCUAGUCAAUGAAAUUGAUCUCCCCGUGCAGAAGCGGGGAUACACACAUAAGACGAGAAGACCCUAUGGAGCUUUAGACACCCGGACAGCCCACGUUAAGUAGCCUGCCCCACCAGGCAAGAACAAAAUGGCCCCUGUCCCCCUGUCUUUGGUUGGGGCGACCGCGGAGUAACAGAAAACCCCCACGUGGAAUGGGCUUUGCCCUUAAAGCCAGAGCCACAGCUCUAAUAAACAGAACAUCUGACCAAUAAGAUCCGGCAACGCCGAUCAACGGACCCAGUUACCCUAGGGAUAACAGCGCAAUCCCCUUUUAGAGCCCAUAUCGACAAGGGGGUUUACGACCUCGAUGUUGGAUCAGGACUUCCUAAUGGUGCAGCCGCUAUUAAGGGUUC
Molecule: ribosomal RNA, 1486 nt
Filed under: Arenigobius bifrenatus (bridled goby)
Lineage: Eukaryota; Metazoa; Chordata; Actinopteri; Gobiiformes; Gobiidae
Description: partial 16S ribosomal RNA
Rfam family: Bacterial large subunit ribosomal RNA
Source: RNAcentral